UACGGAGGAUGCGAGCGUUAUCCGGAUUUAUUGGGUUUAAAGGGAGCGCAGACGGGAGAUUAAGUCAGUUGUGAAAGUUUGCGGCUCAACCGUAAAAUUGCAGUUGAUACUGGUUUCCUUGAGUGCAGUUGAGGCAGGCGGAAUUCGUGGUGUAGCGGUGAAAUGCUUAGAUAUCACGAAGAACCCCGAUUGCGAAGGCAGCUUGCUAAACUGUAACUGACGUUGAUGCUCGAAAGUGUGGGUAUCAAACAGG
RNAcentral lists this ribosomal RNA (253 nucleotides) under uncultured bacterium. Its description in RNAcentral is "partial 16S ribosomal RNA". It matches the Rfam family "Bacterial small subunit ribosomal RNA", at positions 524 to 776 of the family's 1533-position model. The record is from RNAcentral.